GCCCGGGUAGCACAAUUGGUAGUGCACCGACCUUGUAAGUCGGACAGUGCGGGUUCGAGUCCCGCCCCGGGCU
This 73-nucleotide transfer RNA is filed under the name Actinomycetota bacterium. RNAcentral describes it as "Actinobacteria bacterium (freshwater metagenome) tRNA-Thr". It matches the Rfam family "tRNA". From Rfam's summary of the family: Transfer RNA (tRNA) molecules are approximately 80 nucleotides in length. Their secondary structure includes four short double-helical elements and three loops (D, anti-codon, and T loops). Lineage: Bacteria; Bacillati; Actinomycetota. The record is from RNAcentral.